RNAcentral lists this unclassified non-coding RNA (341 nucleotides) under soil metagenome. Its description in RNAcentral is "partial contains 5.8S ribosomal RNA, internal transcribed spacer 2, and large subunit ribosomal RNA". The stretch from base 1 to 120 matches the Rfam family "5.8S ribosomal RNA", at positions 35 to 154 of the family's 154-position model. The record is from RNAcentral.
GAUGAAGAACGCAGCGAAAUGCGAUAAGUAGUGUGAAUUGCAGAAUUCAGUGAAUCAUCGAAUCUUUGAACGCACAUUGCGCCCUUUGGUAUUCCAAAGGGCAUGCCUGUUCGAGCGUCAUUUGUACCCUCAAGCUUUGCUUGGUGUUGGGCGUCUUGUCUCUAGCUUUGCUGGAGACUCGCCUUAAAGUAAUUGGCAGCCGGCCUACUGGUUUCGGAGCGCAGCACAAGUCGCACUCUCUAUCAGCAAAGGUCUAGCAUCCAUUAAGCCUUUUUUUCGACUUUUGACCUCGGAUCAGGUAGGGAUACCCGCUGAACUUAAGCAUAUCAAUAAGCGGAGGA